RNAcentral lists this ribosomal RNA (273 nucleotides) under uncultured bacterium. Its description in RNAcentral is "partial 16S ribosomal RNA". It matches the Rfam family "Bacterial small subunit ribosomal RNA", at positions 523 to 796 of the family's 1533-position model. The record is from RNAcentral.
AUACGGAGGGUGCGAGCGUUGUUCGGAAUUAUUGGGCGUAAAGAGCAUGUAGGCGGUCUGUUAAGUCUGGUGUGAAAGCUCGGGGCUCAACCCCGGAAGUGCAUUGGAUACUGGCAGACUUGAGUAUGGGAGAGGAAAGCGGAAUUCCGAGUGUAGGAGUGAAAUCCGUAGAUAUUCGGAGGAACACCAGUGGCGAAGGCGGCUUUCUGGACCAAUACUGACGCUGAGAUGCGAAAGCGUGGGAGCGAACAGGAUUAGAAACCCCAGUAGUCC